Balaenoptera musculus (blue whale) is the source of this 75-nucleotide non-coding RNA. The record is from the annotation of a RefSeq genome assembly. Lineage: Eukaryota; Metazoa; Chordata; Mammalia; Artiodactyla; Balaenopteridae.
UCCCUGGUGGUCCAGUGGUUAGGACUCUGCACUCUCACUGCCGAGGGGGCCCAGGUUUAAUCCCUGGUCAGGGAA